RNAcentral lists this ribosomal RNA (476 nucleotides) under uncultured bacterium. Its description in RNAcentral is "bacterial SSU rRNA". It matches the Rfam family "Bacterial small subunit ribosomal RNA", at positions 28 to 507 of the family's 1533-position model. The record is from RNAcentral.
GACGAACGCUGGCGGCGUGCUUAACACAUGCAAGUCGAACGGGAGUAUUGAAGAAGCUUGCUUUAGAGAUACUUUAGUGGCGGACGGGUGAGUAACGCGUGAGGAGCUGUCCUAUGCAGGGGGACAACAGCUGGAAACGGCUGCUAAUACCCCAUAAGCCGAGAGGUAAAAGGAUCAAUCCGGCAGAGGAGGUACUCGCGUCCUAUCAGCUAGUAGGUGAGGUAACGGCUCACCUAGGCGAAGACGGGUAGCCGGCCUGAGAGGGCGAACGGCCACACUGGAACUGAGAAACGGUCCAAACUCCUACGGGAGGCAGCAGUGAGGAAUAUUGGUCAAUGGGCGAGAGCCUGAACCAGCCAAAGUCGCGUGAAGGAAGAAGGUCUUAUGGAUUGUAAACUUCUUUAGCAGGGGAAUAAAGGUUAUUACGAGCUAAUAAUUUGCAGGUACUCUGCGAAAAAAGGUCGGCUAACUCCGUG